GAUGAACGCUGACAGAAUGCUUAACACAUGCAAGUCUACUUGAAUUUGGGUUUUUAACUUAGGUUUGGGUGGCGGACGGGUGAGUAACGCGUAAAGAACUUGCCUCACAGCUAGGGACAACAUUUAGAAAUGAAUGCUAAUACCUAAUAUUAUGAUAAUAGGGCAUCCUAUAAUUAUGAAAGCUAUAUGCGCUGUGAGAGAGCUUUGCGUCCCAUUAGCUAGUUGGAGAGGUAACGGCUCACCAAGGCGAUGAUGGGUAGCCGGCCUGAGAGGGUGAUCGGCCACAAGGGGACUGAGACACGGCCCUUACUCCUACGGGAGGCAGCAGUGGGGAAUAUUGGACAAUGGACCGAGAGUCUGAUCCAGCAAUUCUGUGUGCACGAUGAAGUUUUUCGGAAUGUAAAGUGCUUUCAGUUGGGAAGAAAGAAAUGACAGUACCAACAGAAGAAGUGACGGCUAAAUACGUGCCAGCAGCCGCGGUAAUACGUAUGUCACGAGCGUUAUCCGGAUUUAUUGGGCGUAAAGCGCGUCUAGGUGGUUAUAUAAGUCUGAUGUGAAAAUGCAGGGCUCAACUCUGUAUUGCGUUGGAAACUGUAUAACUAGAGUACUGGAGAGGUAAGCGGAACUACAAGUGUAGAGGUGAAAUUCGUAGAUAUUUGUAGGAAUGCCGAUGGGGAAGCCAGCUUACUGGACAGAUACUGACGCUGAAGCGCGAAAGCGUGGGUAGCAAACAGG
This 735-nucleotide ribosomal RNA is filed under the name uncultured Fusobacterium sp. Its description in RNAcentral is "bacterial SSU rRNA". It matches the Rfam family "Bacterial small subunit ribosomal RNA", at positions 28 to 776 of the family's 1533-position model. The record is from RNAcentral. Lineage: Bacteria; Fusobacteriati; Fusobacteriota; Fusobacteriia; Fusobacteriales; Fusobacteriaceae.